CAAAUACUUCCUUCGUCUCAAAAUUCUUGUCUUAAAUUUGUUCUUAUACGGAUGUUCCUACUCACAUUUUAGUGUUAGAUACGUUCGUAUGUAGAUAAAUCUAAAACAAGAAUUUUGGGACGGAGGAAGUACUUU
Molecule: non-coding RNA, 135 nt
Organism: Triticum aestivum (bread wheat)
Lineage: Eukaryota; Viridiplantae; Streptophyta; Magnoliopsida; Poales; Poaceae
Source: Rfam